RNAcentral lists this non-coding RNA (24 nucleotides) under Arabidopsis thaliana (thale cress). Lineage: Eukaryota; Viridiplantae; Streptophyta; Magnoliopsida; Brassicales; Brassicaceae. The record is from RNAcentral.
ACGGCCUUUGUGGUAACUUGCACG